RNAcentral lists this ribosomal RNA (389 nucleotides) under uncultured bacterium. RNAcentral describes it as "bacterial SSU rRNA". It matches the Rfam family "Bacterial small subunit ribosomal RNA", at positions 28 to 414 of the family's 1533-position model. The record is from RNAcentral.
GAUGAACGCUAGCGGCAGGCUUAACACAUGCAAGUCGAGGGGCAACAGGGGUAGCAAUACUCGCUGGCGACCGGCAAACGGGUGCGGAACACGUACGCAACAUACCUUUUACUGGGGCAUAGCCUUCUGAAAAGAAGAUUAACACCCCAUAAUAUCAAUGACUGGCAUCAGUUGAUGAUUAAAAAUUUAUUGGUAAGAGAUUGGCGUGCGUCCUAUUAGCUAGUUGGUAGGGUAAUGGCCUACCAAGGCGACGAUAGGUAGCUGGUGUGAGAGCACGACCAGCCACACGGGCACUGAGACACGGGCCCGACUCCUACGGGAGGCAGCAGUGAGGAAUAUUGGUCAAUGGACGAAAGUCUGAACCAGCCAUGCCGCGUGAAGGAUGACUG